AUUUAUUUAAAUCCAGAUUAUUGAGGAGAACAUCAUGCUAUUUACAGGAAAACAAUUAUUUUAAUUUAAGCAGAUGUCAACUCACGGACACUUGCUUAGAAAAAAGUGUCCGAAUGCCAAGAUUCAAAGCCUAGCAUUCGCUAGGUUUUUUUAUGUCAUCAAU
RNAcentral lists this non-coding RNA (163 nucleotides) under Acinetobacter gerneri DSM 14967 = CIP 107464 = MTCC 9824. RNAcentral's name for it is "Acinetobacter gerneri DSM 14967 = CIP 107464 Acinetobacter sRNA 28". It matches the Rfam family "Acinetobacter sRNA 28". Rfam says of the family: AbsR25 sRNA could play role in the efflux pump regulation and drug resistance. Lineage: Bacteria; Pseudomonadati; Pseudomonadota; Gammaproteobacteria; Moraxellales; Moraxellaceae. The record is from Rfam by way of RNAcentral.